GGGAUGAACGCUGGCGGCGUGCCUAAUACAUGCAAGUCGAGCGGUAAGGCUUUCACAGAUUAUUUAACAGGAUAAGUCCUCUAGAGGAUACUGUCCACAAUGAUCACCAGGCUAGGUGAUCAUGGUUGAAUAAUGCGUGAAAGUACACGAGCGGCGGACGGCUGAGUAACGCGUAGGAAUGUACCCCAAAGUGAGGGAUAAGCACCAGAAAUGGUGUCUAAUACCGCAUGUGGUCUAAGGAUUAAAGCUUCGGCGCUUUGGGAACGGCCUGCGUAUGAUUAGCUUGUUGGUGAGGUAAUGGCUCACCAAGGCGACGAUCAUUAGCUGGUCUGAGAGGAUGAUCAGCCAGACUGGACUGAGACACGGCCCAGACUCCGUACGGGAGG
This 386-nucleotide ribosomal RNA is filed under the name uncultured soil bacterium. RNAcentral describes it as "bacterial SSU rRNA". It matches the Rfam family "Bacterial small subunit ribosomal RNA", at positions 27 to 348 of the family's 1533-position model. The record is from RNAcentral.